GGGAAGGAGGGAACGAAGGAGGGACUGGAGGGGGCAUUCAUGCCAAGGUAAUUGUGAUGUAACUUAAGAAAAACUCUUUGAACCAAGUUUGAGCUCAAUUUGAACAAAGUUUGA
Syngnathus acus (greater pipefish) is the source of this 114-nucleotide long non-coding RNA. RefSeq lists it as uncharacterized. The transcript has 3 exons. Lineage: Eukaryota; Metazoa; Chordata; Actinopteri; Syngnathiformes; Syngnathidae. The record is from RefSeq and is a predicted model, not a curated record.